This is a long non-coding RNA of Cyprinus carpio (common carp), 3087 nucleotides long. Lineage: Eukaryota; Metazoa; Chordata; Actinopteri; Cypriniformes; Cyprinidae. The record is from Ensembl.
GAUUGCACAGAUGAAGUGGUGUCACAGUGGCUAUCUGAUGUGAAGGAAUGGGCAGCUGGUGGUAAGCAUGACCAGAUAAAAGAAACAACAAACAUCCCUUUCUACCAUCUACAUUUUAUGUUUGAUAUUAAAGAGCAGCUAAAGAUAGUAGGCGGAUCAUCAUCUAAUGUGAUGCCACAUUUAUGUCAGGUUUAUUAGAAUAUUCCAGUUCCUUGCAGGAAGUGCACAUACCAAGUAUAAAUAAGUUUGAUUAAAAGGUUUUACAUAAAAUUCAAACUUGCUUUCACUAUUUCUUAUACAGAGACACCUGAUACAUCUAGUGCCAGUCAAGGCACAACACACAGAGGAAUUCAGCAAUCAAUUAAGGGGCUCUACCUUAGUGUGAGGCACCGGAAGCGAACCCUCUACCGUCAGAAUGACAGCAGCAAGUUUCGCCAUCGCCUUCGAAGAAAGCUGGCAGAAGACAAAAAACUCCUUCUUCAGGAGAUACAGAAAUACAAUGAUCUUGUACUAGAAUCGGCAACAACCAUUGACGUAGCUGUGGUGGAGCAUUCCCUAACUGGAGAGAGUACUGUGUCUCAAAUAUGGCCGUGGGAAGUUCAUGGCAGUGCAAACAUUUCAAUCAAGGAACGAGUGCACGAUCAAGUGAUGUUAACAAGGCGACUGCAUGAGGAAACAAGAGUUUUGGUGUUGGAGAUGGCACAACACUGCACAUGGUUGCAGAGCCUGGCAAUGGUUCUCAAGAACAAGUUGGCUGAGGAGGGUAAGUUUAAUUAAAACCCUGUCCAUCUAAUGUGUUAAAAAAACACACAAAAAAAACACAUCAGUCACAGAACUUGAUGGAGUAGAACGCUUAUUGCUCUCUUUGCCGAGGUCCUUUAACACAUACAUAAAAUGGGGAUUAAAAUUGUUACUGUAGCUAUGGUUACAAGUCAGUAAGGCUAUAAAGAUUCACAUUUGCUUGAAGAUGUGCAGAUUUGUUGUACUAUGGCUGUUACUUGAAAGCAUAAAUGAACAAAAUAAUUUGAACAUUGAAAUUUGUGUCCUGAUGUGUUACACGUGGUUAGCAUAACAUCAAGAUUAAUUUUAUUAUUAUCAUCUCCUCCAGUCAACAUAGAAAACCUUGCUGGUCAGCAAGUAACAAAAUGUGUUAUUUCAGCACAACUCUAGUGAUAGCUGUUUUAAGUUAACAGGUUUCUAUAUAUAUAUAAUAUAUAUANAUAUAUAUAUAUAUAUAUAUAUAUAUAUAUAUAUAUAUGCUGCUUUGGGCUUUAAUUCGAAGAUUACAGUGAGAUUAAUCUAGAUUAAAAAAAUUAAUCUAUGCCCACCACUAAUACAUAUAUGCUGCUUUGGGCCUCCCUCCAUAAAGUCACCUCAGUGAGCCAUGUUGCCUUAAAUUGUUUUAUACAGAAGCUAGCCUGGUCCCAUGUCAGCGAUACACAUAAAAAUGGCAAUCAUCCUGCUAUGUAGAUUUGAAUAGGUGAUAUCUUUUUACUCCAUUUAAGUUCUUUGGCCUUAUGAAACAAUCUUAAUAUAGUUUGUCUUUAAUGUAAUCUCGUUUGUAUUUUGAGAUGUAGACCAGGGAAAUGAGUGACUUUGCUGUCUCUUAAGAAGUCUCUUAGGUCCUGAGGCCUCUGNUGUUAUUCUUAAUAAUUAAUUUGUGUAUUUUAUUAAUGCUUUACACACCUUACUUAUUCUAAAACAGCUGAAAUUCACCCUCUUAUCCUAAUUCUUGCUUUUUUGUUUUUCUGUAUUUCCCCAGAUGGAAGCUGCACGAAGGACUAUGUUGAAGGAAAUGGACUUGCCCUAUAUCUGUGUAUUAUUAGUAUGCUGAUUGAUUAACCACAUCAAAAUCUUGUUGAAAAUUCAAACUGUGUCUUUAGAUUUUCCAAGCAAUUUAGUAAGCACAUUGCACAGUUCAUUAAAAAUGCACAAACCUCUCAUUAUAGGUGCACCAAUCUUAGCCAAAAAUGUCAACUUUGCAUGUAUGAUAUUACCAGAUGUAAUUACUGUGCCCAUAUGAUAUUUGGGUAGUGUAUACUCUUCUAAAAGAGAGACUCCCCUUGAUUGUGGUGACCCUGUAACCUUUCCUUUUGCACCAACGUUAGGCCAAACUUUUGACUUGCACACAACAAAUGUUAUGAACCGAUUUCUGUAAUUUUCUGAGCAAUGAAUCAUGUCAUGUUGACCUUAUGACAUUCCCUGUAGCACAAUCAUUAGACCAGAAUGUAAAAUUGAAUAUUGUCUAAUUGGGCAGAUUGCCAUGAAAUCUUGUAAGCACAUGAUGACUUUGGUGACCUUAUGACAAUUCCUCUAUCAUCACAUUUAGGCCUUAAUGUAAAAACUCAUUCUUGAUUGCAUUUCUCAAUAUUCACUUAUUCUGUGGUGCAGUGUCAGUCUAUGACAUUUUGUUUUUCCCCAGAGGAGGCUGCCUAUGGAUCACUACUUGAUUGAGUGUAUUAUAUAACUGUUGUGUAACUUUAUAUUACUGCAAAGAUGCAUUAUAGUAUGUAACAGAAAAAUACAGUUUUUUAUUUUACGAUUAUACUUUAUAUUGUAUAUUAUUACAGUUGACAGAUGACUUAAUUCUUUGUUCUGCUGGAGCUUUUCAAGUGAACUUAACCUCACAGUCCAAUGUUUUUAAAUACAGCCUUAUGGCUUGUGUCAUCACAUUUAGGCCUUAAUGUAAAAACUCAUUCUUGAUUGCAUUUCUCAAUAUUCACUUAUUCUGUGGUGCAGUGUCAGUCUAUGACAUUUUGUUUUUCCCCAGAGGAGGCUGCCUAUGGAUCACUACUUGAUUGAGUGUAUUAUAUAACUGUUGUGUAACUUUAUAUUACUGCAAAGAUGCAUUAUAGUAUGUAACAGAAAAAUACAGUUUUUUAUUUUACGAUUAUACUUUAUAUUGUAUAUUAUUACAGUUGACAGAUGACUUAAUUCUUUGUUCUGCUGGAGCUUUUCAAGUGAACUUAACCUCACAGUCCAAUGUUUUUAAAUACAGCCUUAUGGCUUGUUUGACAAAUAUGUAUUUGGUGUAUUUUCACUGGUAUUGUUGUGAAAGACAAGAAAUAAAGUAUUUCCAAAGAUGAA